CCAGGCGGCCGGGCAGCCGCUGUUGCCGGCCUUCGGGCCGGUGAUGGAGGAAAGUCCGGGCUCCAUGGAGACAGGGCGGCGGGUAACACCCGCCCGGCGCAAGCCGAGGGAAAGUGCCACAGAAAGCAGACCGCCGCUGACUUUGGUCAGCGGUAAGGGUGAAAGGGUGGGGUAAGCGCCCACCGCGCGGCCGGCAACGGUCGCGGCAUGGUAAACCCCGCCCGGAGCAAGACCGAGUAGGGGGCGCACAGGGCCCGUCUCCGGCCAUGCGCCCCGGGUGUGUCGCUUGACGCGGCCCAGCAAUGGGCCGUGCAGAGGAAUGGCUGCCCCUUUCCGCCAGGAAAGGACAGAACCCGGCUUACAGGCCGCCUGGUCGC
RNAcentral lists this RNase P RNA (377 nucleotides) under Alphaproteobacteria bacterium. Its description in RNAcentral is "RNase P RNA component class A". It matches the Rfam family "Bacterial RNase P class A". From Rfam's summary of the family: Ribonuclease P (RNase P) is a ubiquitous endoribonuclease, found in archaea, bacteria and eukarya as well as chloroplasts and mitochondria. Lineage: Bacteria; Pseudomonadati; Pseudomonadota; Alphaproteobacteria. The record is from RNAcentral.